AUGACACUCUUCAACAAAUAACAAUGCACAUAAUUGAUGAUAUUUCAACAAAUUUAUUCAUAAUAAUAUAAUAUUGCCCUUAAUAGCAUUAGGUUAUAACUUAUAACACCAAUAAUAUAUUUUUCGAACGAUUUUUGCGGCUAAUAAAGCCCGCUAGCGCCCAAAUGAUGGGAAAGAGGAUUAGGCCCUUUCGGGAGGAGGCCACGGCGUCGAAUUAAAUGGAGUAGCAUUAUUUCUACUAGAAUCCGGCUUCCAUGGAUGGGGCGGCGGGAGCGAGGGCCCGGAAGGAACUCUUCUCGCCAGGUGGUAGCGGUCAUCGACUUCGACUUCGCCGGCGGGAAAUAGCAGGCGAGCCGAAGAUUCGGUGGCGGAGAGGAGUACCAAGGCGGCGACGGCGGCGAGGAGGAGGAUGGAUGAGCGCGCCAUGACUGUCAGGGCAAUGAAAGAACCAACCCCUGAAAGCUGUAUUUCGCGCGGGAAUUUCUUCUCCGAUGAUGCGGCAGUGGCAAGAGUUGGUGCUAGCCUUCAAUGAUGUGGCGACUGCCGCUCAGCCUUCUCGGGACGUUAGGCAUCAGCCUCCUCCAAAUCAACGGCCGCUACUUGAUAGCAUCAAAGCCAUACGUCCCCAAAAUCCAGGUCCCGUCCACCAUGAAUCUGCGCAUGCAUUUCUCAAAGUUCUCAUAUCAAAGGUAGCAUCUAAUUUCACCUUUUCAGUUUCGAGACGGCAGAAAUUUAUUGUUGUUGUUGUUUAUAUGUGCCACUUUUGCAUAAAUGCUUGUUAGAGAACAUUAUUUUUUUAUUGUUUUCAAAAGCUUUAUAGUACUAA
This is a long non-coding RNA of Dendrobium catenatum, 826 nucleotides long. RefSeq lists it as uncharacterized. Lineage: Eukaryota; Viridiplantae; Streptophyta; Magnoliopsida; Asparagales; Orchidaceae. The record is from RefSeq and is a predicted model, not a curated record. The transcript is spliced from 2 exons.